GACGAACGCUGGCGGCGUGCCUAAUACAUGCAAGUUGAGCGCUGAAGGUUGGUACUUGUACCAACUGGAUGAGCAGCGAACGGGUGAGUAACGCGUGGGGAAUCUGCCUUUGAGCGGGGGACAACAUUUGGAAACGAAUGCUAAUACCGCAUAAAAACUUUAAACACAAGUUUUAAGUUUGAAAGAUGCAAUUGCAUCACUCAAAGAUGAUCCCGCGUUGUAUUAGCUAGUUGGUGAGGUAAAGGCUCACCAAGGCGAUGAUACAUAGCCGACCUGAGAGGGUGAUCGGCCACAUUGGGACUGAGACACGGCCCAAACUCCUACGGGAGGCAGCAGUAGGGAAGCUUCGGCAAUGGACGAAAGUCUGACCGAGCAACGCCGCGUGAGUGAAGAAGGGUGUCGGAUCGUAAAACUCGGUUGGUAGAGAAGAACGUUGGUGAGAGUGGAAAGCUCAUCAAGUGACGGUAACUACCCAGAAAGGGACGGCUAACUACGUG
RNAcentral lists this ribosomal RNA (497 nucleotides) under uncultured bacterium. RNAcentral describes it as "partial 16S ribosomal RNA". It matches the Rfam family "Bacterial small subunit ribosomal RNA", at positions 28 to 507 of the family's 1533-position model. The record is from RNAcentral.